CCCUUGAGUUUGAUCAUGGCUCAGAACGAACGCUGGCGGCAGGCCUAACACAUGCAAGUCGAGCGAAGCCUUCGGGUUUAGCGGCGGACGGGUGAGUAACGCGUGGGAAUAUGCCCUUUGGUACGGAACAGUCCCGGGAAACUGGGUUUAAUACCGUAUGUGGUCCUUCGUAGUGGAUACGGGGGACGAAAGAUUUAUCGCCAAAGGAUUAGCCCGCGUUGGAUUAGGUAGUUGGUGGGGUAACGGCCUACCAAGCCGACGAUCCAUAGCUGGUUUGAGAGGAUGAUCAGCCACACUGGGACUGAGACACGGCCCAGACUCCUACGGGAGGCAGCAGUGGGGAAUCUUAGACAAUGGGGGCAACCCUGAUCUAGCCAUGCCGCGUGAGUGAUGAAGGCCUUAGGGUUGUAAAGCUCUUUCAGCUGGGAAGAUAAUGACGGUACCAGCAGAAGAAGCCCCGGCUAACUCCGUGCCAGCAGCCGCGGUAAUACGGAGGGGGCUAGCGUUGUUCGGAAUUACUGGGCGUAAAGCGCAUGUAGGCGGACCAGAAAGUUGGGGGUGAAAUCCCGGGGCUCAACCCCGGAACGGCCUUCAAAACUAUUGGUCUGGAGUUCGAGAGAGGUGAGUGGAAUUCCGAGUGUAGAGGUGAAAUUCGUAGAUAUUCGGAGGAACACCAGUGGCGAAGGCGGCUCACUGGCUCGAUA
Molecule: ribosomal RNA, 704 nt
Filed under: uncultured bacterium
Lineage: Bacteria
Description: bacterial SSU rRNA
Rfam family: Bacterial small subunit ribosomal RNA
Source: RNAcentral